GACGAACGCUGGCGGCGUGCUUAACACAUGCAAGUCGAACGGAAAGGCCCUGAUUUUGUGGGGUGAUCGAGUGGCGAACGGGUGAGUAACACGUGAGUAACCUGCCCUUGACUUUGGGAUAACUUAAGGAAACUGGGGCUAAUAUCGGAUAGGAGAUCAUGCUGCAUGGAGGGGGUUGGAAAGUUUCUGCGGUUGGGGAUGGACUCGCGGCUUAUCAGCUUGUUGGUGGGGUAGGGGCUUACCAAGGCUUUGACUGGUAGCCGGCCUGGGAGGGUGACCGGCCACAUUGGGACUGAGAUACGGCCCAGACGCCUACGGGAGGCAGCAGUGGGGAAUAUUGCACAAUGGGCGGAAGCCGGAUGCAGCAGCGCCGCGUUCGUGAUGACGGCCUUCGGGUUGUAAACCGCUUUCGCCUGUGACGAAGCGUGAGUGACGGUAAUGGAUAAAGAAGCACCGGCUAACUACGUG
RNAcentral lists this ribosomal RNA (468 nucleotides) under uncultured bacterium. RNAcentral describes it as "partial 16S ribosomal RNA". It matches the Rfam family "Bacterial small subunit ribosomal RNA", at positions 28 to 507 of the family's 1533-position model. The record is from RNAcentral.